AUGCUCGGCUCAACGCAUGUCUCCCGUUGCUUCGUCAUCCAUGGCGAGGGGGGAGUGGUGGCUUCUCUGGACGUAGUGCCUACUGCUUCAGCUCUACUCACCACUGUUGCAGGCGAAGGGCCCAUUGUGCAAGCGCCUCCAGUGCGUCCGGGCUGGGGAAAUUGGCGAGGAUGUUUCGACCGAGUGGCGGUGUCAACAGUUCCUAUGGCUCCAUGCGGGGAUGCUUUGGGAGGUUGGCAGCUCGUCUCGAGAGGGCGCCGCUCGGCUCCUGCUGCUUUUCGUCGCCUUGUUGUCAAUGUGCGGCGUCCCCCUCCGACGUGGUUGAGAGACAGGUGUUUUCGGUGCCUCUAUCGAGGUCACCGAGCAUACUCUUGUAGGGAUCCAAUUCGAUGCAAGGAUUGUCUUCGAUCCGGCCACAUCCCUCGCUUCUGCCAUGUUGAGAAGCUUGUCCAUGCUUCGCCACUCCAAUGUCCUGCUCCACCACCUGCAUCCACCGAUGAAGUCUCCAUGACAGAUGUGCAGUUCCAACCUAUCUCGACUGAGCAAGUUGGGUUGGCGGAGGAGACCGAGCUGCUUCGCAUUGAGCUUCAUGUCUGCCUAGUGCGAGCCGGGAGUGUUUUGGGGAGGGCGGAGGCCGCUCUCGCCAAACUAGAGGUCGUGCCGGAUGUGUCUUCGCUGCCUGAGCUUCAGAUUGGGGUUGUGCCUGAUGUGUCCUUGCUGCCCGAGAUUCAGGUUGGUUCUGUCGAUGGGGAAGCAUGCAUGUAUGGAGAUCUCUCCCCUCGUGCUACAUCCUGUCGGUUGCCGUUGCCUGCCGUGCCGAUUGCUUCUGGUAGUGAAGUUGUUGUCGAGGUCGUGGCUCCGGUGCUGCAGAUUAUGGCUGAGCUCCAGAAGGUUUGUGGGGAGCCUACUUCGCCUAUUUCGAUGGUGCUUCCUAAGGAGAUGGGGCCGCUUGGAGGGAACUUGGUGAUGUCGAUUGCGACCUCUCCGCCGUCGUUGGAGCCCAUUCAGACUCUCGACUUUGUGGACUGUGCAGGUUUGGAUGCUACUAUUGCUCUCUCACCUAAGGUUGUUGGCCAUGUGGUGUCUGCGGGUGAUGAGGUAGGUGAGCACCUAAUUCUGAGGUGA
RNAcentral lists this ribosomal RNA (1125 nucleotides) under Triticum aestivum (bread wheat). RNAcentral's name for it is "partial small subunit ribosomal RNA". Lineage: Eukaryota; Viridiplantae; Streptophyta; Magnoliopsida; Poales; Poaceae. The record is from RNAcentral.